This 756-nucleotide ribosomal RNA is filed under the name uncultured bacterium. RNAcentral's name for it is "bacterial SSU rRNA". It matches the Rfam family "Bacterial small subunit ribosomal RNA", at positions 8 to 796 of the family's 1533-position model. The record is from RNAcentral.
AGAGUUUGAUCCUGGCUCAGAAUCAACGCUGGCGGCGCGCUUAACACAUGCAAGUCGCACGAGAAAGGGGAGCAAUCCCUGAGUAAAGUGGCGUACGGGUGAGUAACACGUGGAUCAUCUACCUUUUAGUGGGGAAUACCCCUGGGAAACUGGGGACAAUACCGCAUAAGCUCGUGAGAGGAAAGCCGAAAGGCGCUGAAAGAGGAGUCCGCGGCUGAUUAGCUAGUUGGUGAGGUAACGGCCCACCAAGGCGAAGAUCGGUAGCCGGCCUGAGAGGGCACACGGCCACACUGGCACUGAAACACGGGCCAGACUCCUACGGGAGGCAGCAGUGGGGAAUCUUGCACAAUGGAGGAAACUCUGAUGCAGCGACGCCGCGUGAGCGAUGAAGCCCUUCGGGGUGUAAAGCUCUUUCGACGGGAACGAUAAUGACGGUACCCGAAGAAGAAGCUGCGGCUAACUACGUGCCAGCAGCCGCGGUAAUACGUAGGCAGCAAGCGUUGUUCGGAAUUACUGGGCGUAAAGAGUGUGUAGGCGGUGCUCUAAGUCUGUCGUGAAAUCUCCCGGCUUAACUGGGAGGGUGCGGCGGAAACUGGUGUGCUUGAGGAUGGGAGAGGUAAGCGGAAUUCCUGGUGUAGCGGUGAAAUGCGUAGAUAUCAGGAGGAACACCUGUGGUGUAGACAGCUUACUGGACCAUUUCUGACGCUGAGACACGAAAGCGUGGGUAGCAAACAGGAUUAGAUACCCUGGUAGUCC